Molecule: unclassified non-coding RNA, 281 nt
Filed under: Hevea brasiliensis (rubber tree)
Lineage: Eukaryota; Viridiplantae; Streptophyta; Magnoliopsida; Malpighiales; Euphorbiaceae
Source: RNAcentral
GAGAGAGAGAGAGAGAGGGAGAGGUCAUACAAUGAGGAAUACAGAAGCGUGAUCUAAUUACAUCAAGUAAAGCCUAGAAAUACUAUCAAGUGAAGUAUGAUAGUUGUUGUUGAAGGUUUUAGUGGCUUCUGAACUGGAGUGGCAUUUGAUUUGUAGCUGUUUUUGAGUUGUAAAUAUCAUGCGAGAUUGGUUCGUACGCUUGUUUCUUCUUUGCAUGUGAAUUUUGUGAUGUUUCCAUUGUAUUCUUCUAGGGUUCCACCGAGUCUGAAGGAAGCCGCCAC